Molecule: ribosomal RNA, 468 nt
Filed under: uncultured bacterium
Lineage: Bacteria
Description: partial 16S ribosomal RNA
Rfam family: Bacterial small subunit ribosomal RNA
Source: RNAcentral
GACGAACGCUGGCGGUGUGCUUAACAUAUGCAAGUCGAACGGUAAGGCCCUUUCGGGGGUACACGAGUGGCGAACGGGUGAGUAACACGUGAGUAACCUGCCCUCAUCUCUGGGAUAACAGUCGGAAACGGUUGCUAAUACUGGAUAUGAGCUUGCAAGGCAUCUUGUGGGUUGGAAAGAUUUUUUUUGGUUGGGGAUGGACUCGCGGCCUAUCAGCUUGUUGGUGAGGUAGUGGCUCACCAAGGCUUCGACGGGUAGCCGGCCUGAGAGGGCGACCGGCCACAUUGGGACUGAGAUACGGCCCAAACUCCUACGGGAGGCAGCAGUGGGGAAUAUUGCACAAUGGACGGAAGUCUGAUGCAGCAACGCCGCGUGCGGGAUGACGGCCUUCGGGUUGUAAACCGCUUUCAAUUGUGACGAAGCUUUUUUGUGACGGUAGCAGUAGAAGAAGCACCGGCUAACUACGUG